CAAUAGCGUAUAUUAAAGUUGUUGCAGUUAAAAAGCUCGUAGUUGAAUUUUUGCUUGCCGCCGAUGUCGGAACUUCCGUACGUUCGGCGGCGUGCAUCCUUGGGUGGAACCUGUGUGGCAUUAGGUUGUCGUGCAGGGGAUGCUCAUCGUUUACUGUGAAAAAAUUAGAGUGUUCAAAGCUGGCUUACGCCGUUGAAUAUAUUAGCAUGGAAUAAUAAGAUAGGACCUUGGUACUAUUUUGUUGGUUUGCGCACCGAGGUAAUGACUAACAGGGACAGUUGGGGGUAUUCGUAUUCCAUUGUCAGAGGUGAAAUUCUUGGAUUUCUGGAAGACGAACUACUGCGAAAGCAUUUACCAAGGAUGUUUUCAUUAA
RNAcentral lists this ribosomal RNA (373 nucleotides) under uncultured eukaryote. RNAcentral describes it as "partial 18S ribosomal RNA". It matches the Rfam family "Eukaryotic small subunit ribosomal RNA", at positions 592 to 976 of the family's 1831-position model. The record is from RNAcentral.